This 253-nucleotide ribosomal RNA is filed under the name uncultured bacterium. Its description in RNAcentral is "partial 16S ribosomal RNA". It matches the Rfam family "Bacterial small subunit ribosomal RNA", at positions 524 to 776 of the family's 1533-position model. The record is from RNAcentral.
UACGAAGGGGGCUAGCGUUGUUCGGAAUCACUGGGCGUAAAGCGCACGCCGGCGGAUCGAUAAGUCGGGGGUGAAAGCCCGGGGCUCAACCUCGGAAUUGCCUUCGAUACUGUCGGUCUCGAGUCCGGGAGAGGUGAGUGGAAUUCCUAGUGUAGAGGUGAAAUUCGUAGAUAUUAGGAAGAACACCAGUGGCGAAGGAGGCUCACGGGCCCGGUACUGACGCUCAGGUGCGAAAGCGUGGGGAGCAAACAGG